UUGAGUGCCCUGGAGGCUGAAGUCCUCUAUUUAUCCACAGAACAGAUUUGGCUUGGGCAGUGGCAGUGCAAGCUUCCCCACCAAUGUGCCUCAACCCUGACCUGGAGGAACCACCUCUAGAGGUGAGAGGGUAGUUCAGUCUCCAGAACCAUUCAGUCCUUGGCUUUG
This is a regulatory RNA element of Pelodiscus sinensis (Chinese soft-shelled turtle), 168 nucleotides long. It matches the Rfam family "TUC338". NCBI's taxonomy places the organism in Eukaryota, Metazoa, Chordata, Testudines, Trionychidae. The record is from Rfam.